UACGGGGGGGAGCAAGCGUUGUUCGGAUUCACUGGGCGUAAAGGGUGCGUAGGCGGUCGGGUAAGUCUGAUGUGAAAUCUCACAGCUUAACUGUGAAACUGCAUUGGAUACUAUUCGGCUUGAGAGUUGGAGGGGGGACUGGAAUUCUUGGUGUAGCAGUGAAAUGCGUAGAUAUCAAGAGGAACACCAGUGGCGAAGGCGAGUCCCUGGACAACUUCUGACGCUGAGGCACGAAAGCUAGGGGAGCAAACAGG
Molecule: ribosomal RNA, 254 nt
Filed under: uncultured bacterium
Lineage: Bacteria
Description: partial 16S ribosomal RNA
Rfam family: Bacterial small subunit ribosomal RNA
Source: RNAcentral